GGGCGAUUAGCUCAGUUGGAUAGAGCACUACCUUCACACGGUAGGGGUCGGAGGUUCGAGCCCUCUAUCGCCCACCA
Molecule: transfer RNA, 77 nt
Filed under: Candidatus Aminicenantes bacterium ADurb.Bin508
Lineage: Bacteria; Candidatus Aminicenantota
Also listed under: 1 other name
Description: tRNA-Val
Rfam family: tRNA
About the family: Transfer RNA (tRNA) molecules are approximately 80 nucleotides in length. Their secondary structure includes four short double-helical elements and three loops (D, anti-codon, and T loops).
Source: RNAcentral